AUCGUCUCCCCUCCUACAACUUUCUUGCGGGGAGAUCGCGUUACGUAUAAAUCAUCGACGGAAGUAAGAUAUAGUGGCCGUUCGUUAAAAUUUCGUUUUUGAUAAACUAGUUUCCGGACAGGUCUGCCUUCACGAAUUGUGAGUUUCCUUUAUUCCGUUAGUUUUCUUUAACUUUUUGCAGGAUUAGUGUCUAAACUCGGCAGAGAAAUCUAUCGUUGUAAUAGAUCACUCGAGAAGGGGAGAGAAAAGAAAUUUCGAAGAUAUUUAUAAGUAUGUACACGUAUAGUGUGUGUUUGAGAAAUGAGCAGGUAUGGUACAUAGUGGGGGUGUUUAAGAGCAACUAUCUGAUUUCGAUCAAACUAUAAUUAUUGCUUUAUUCAACUAUAUAUUUUCCUGUUGUAUACAAUAAAAUUGAUAUAUUACAAUUAACAAUAUUUUUUACAUAAUACGAUAAUCCCAAAAUAUUUCAAUGAUACGAACCUUUUUCUUUCUAAUCUAACCUUGGGGUCUAUCAUUAUGUGGUCAUACAUGUAUAUCAUUGAUAUUACCAUUAAUCAUACUCGAGGCAGCAAAUUCUACUAGUAAUUUCUAUUGCGAACUACAACUACCUGUUUAGUUUAUUGCGUCUCAUGCUAGGCUCGCGUUUUUUCAGCCGAGCUGUCACUUCGUGUCUAGAAUUUAUCAAACUAAUCCGAUAAAACGAUAGAAAUCGAGAGCAACCAGGGCAAAUUAGAACGCUGUCUCGGGCGUGCAGACAUUAACUAAUCUUAAGGCACUCUUUUACUAAUUCAUAUACACAUAAUACGAGGUUUCUUAAAAUAUAUUUUUAUUUUUAUUUUUAUUUUAUUUAUAUUUUAUUUUUUCAUGAUAAAAUCGCAUUUCUCUAUAGUCAUAACCAUCACAUUGUUAAUAACGCAAGUAUGAAACAAAUAUAGCAGCGAAAGGAAAAGAAAGCUCACAGUCCAUCACAAACAUCAGGCAGUCAUAAGUCAUAAUUGACCAGCUUUCACCAACGUUCCACUCGAACAAUUAAUUAAUCAUACCUCUAUAUGUUUUCACAUCACGAUUGAAAACUUGUAAUUGCUCAUAACAUGAUUAGAGUAGAGAGUGUAGAGAGUAGAGUAUGGAAUCAGAAUUCCUUGUCUACACAUCUAUUUAUGUAUAGCCCAUAAGAGAGUGUAACUUUUUAAGAUGAAACAUAAAAAUUAAUGUCGCGUGGUGAGAAGAACUUAGAAGUCGAUGGCGAUUACAUAAAUAAAUAACAUAAAAGUUAUAAAAAAGAAGUAGAACAGUAAUUUCUUUUAAAACAUAUUCUAUUAUAUUAUUCUUAUAGUACAAGAACCACAUGAACAUUAUGGGACCAGCUAAUUCAAUGUAUCAUCUAAUGGUCGUAGGAAUAAUGUUAACAUUUUAAUUGAAAUUAAAAAGUAGCAAGCUAGUUUCUAAUAAAAGAGCAUCUAACUAUCUUUCGAAAUAUUAUAAUCAGGCAUUAUGAAAGAGAACUUCAGUCAUGCGAAAGAAGUAUAUAAGAAAACAUUAAAUUAAAAACUUUCUUGCUCUUCUGACGUCAGACACUGUCAACGACUUCUCCACUAUGCCUCCAGUACAUAAACAUGAAAUACACGUAUGUAAAUAAAGCGUUUUUAAUACAUAUGCAUAAUCGUUCUAUGUACACACCCUGCGAUCUCCAGCUCUACGUAUACAAGGCAGAAAUAUUCGCCCUUCUGCAUCCGCAAAUAUACGUUCGCGUGGAUCUAUUAGUUCACGGCUCUGGCCGCGCAUAUGCAUUCGCGUAUUCGCGUAUGCUUCGUGUGAUUUUCGCACGCGGUCUGUCGUACAGUAACGCUAGAACACUUUGAACUCCUAGUUCCGUCGCAGAUCUUCUCAGAAUUAGAUCGAUAUAUCCUUCGGACAUAAACGAUCGAACGAUGUUCAAACGAAUUCUACAGGGAGACUUAACCUAAAAUCACUGAACGAUCGAUGGUUUCCGCGGAAAGUAAACUAUGAAGAAAAUUAAUGGGGGUAGUUGGUAUCACUGAUAACAAAGUACAGUUAUAGUUAAUUCUAAGAAUGUAAACCUGUCAAUAUUUUUAUCUAAUAUCUACAAUUACAUUGUGAUAAAUGGAGAAUUGCUUUAGAAAGUUUUUAAAUAUAAAAAGUGGAUUCUUUGAUAAAAAAUAUUUUUGUUUGGUUGUUAAUUAAUAAAUAAUAAACACAAAAAAUAAUGCAAGUUUACAAUAAAGUUUGCUAAGUCUAUCUAGGUGGCGCCACGUACAAGCCCACGCGUAUGCAAUGAUCUUUCGAUACCGAUUUACUCGAAAACGAAGCUUUCUAUAAAAUAGUACUACUCUACAUCUUCGACUUAUUUUUUUAUAUAGUAUAACCUCUCACUUCUCCAUGAUUCCCUCUAACACGUACAAAUAAGGGAAUGUAAAUAAACUCUCUAAAAGAGCAAUCCUUUAGCGAUUAAUCUAAUAAGUAGCGAAAUAAAAUUGACGAUCGCAAAUUCAUUUCAGAUGCAAUUGCAUCACCGAAUUUCCACGUGAACUUAUAAAUAGAACAUGCGUAUAGUGACCCGUUUUAAAAGGAACUGGCCAACAACGAAACGGACGUAAGUUACGAGUUCGCGAAACGUCGUCUAAAAUCGUCGUUAUUGCAGUUGACUGUACGCACACGAGGUAUUAUUCGUCCCACACAAGCCCGGUCGUUACCGCGCCAAUCCUUGCUCGCUGUUUUUGAGCCCGGAUACGUUUCAGCUCUUGCUUGUGCACGUGUUUAUGUAAAUGUUCCCGCGUACACAUCGAGUGACUUAUACCUAUAAGCGCAUCGAAACGUUAUUCACAUUGCACGAACAUUAAGCCCGUCGACGCUACGAAAAGUCGGAAGUUUUUGUGAACGAAAGUUAUCCCUCGAAGGAUCCAGUAGGGGCUCUUUGUGAGAGAGCAGGGCGCACGUGCGAGAUCGAUGGGACCGUCGACAAGGAUUUCGCGAAGCUUCCUCCCCAAGUACUUUAUCCAGUGUUUCAUCUGCCUUCCAGAUUCUUGUUACGGGACUAGGGACUACCGAUACUCUUUCAGAUUCCUCAAUGAAAUGCGGGAUGUUUCGAGAAAACAUACUUGAUCGAUGAGUUAUUAACUAUAAACUGGAAUAAGAAUGCUUAUAUAUGUGUAAUACAAAUAUGAUAGUAAAUUCCCCUAACUACAUAUAUAUUUUUUAAAAGCUAGAAGUUGUUAGAUAGUGUAAAAAAAUGAGGUUAGGUCAUACCAACAUGAAAUUGAUCGUUGCUUGAUUGUAAUGAACAAGAAUAUUUAGAAUAAUUCCAUUAUGAUGCAAAUGGACUUAAUUUUAAAGAAGCAAUCUCAAUAAUCGUCAUCCAAUAAUACAAACGCACUUUCUAGAGACGAUCACAGCACAACAGCAGAAUUUAUUCCCUCAUCCAAAUUCAGCACGUCCGAAUAGAUAGCCCAUAUCAGUAAAUUUGGGUGAGCAACGUGAAUUACGGGACUGUAAAAUGAAUUUAAGCGUGGUACGUGUGGCAAGCACAUGUCGAUAAAUCACUACGCCUAAGUUCGAUCGUGACGCGCGCGAAAUUGAUACCGAACUCGUAAACCUAUUUCUGCUUUUUGCGCUUUUCCGCUUUUUCCAUGAAAAUACUUCGCUCGUAAACCGCGCGAUUAUAAAUAGUUUACUAUUUCAAUGGCAACAAUUAACGAUCGACCAAAGUACGAUGGAAAGAGCGAUUUUCAUCGAACGAUCAACGCCGUGAAAAUGUCAAAGGCAACAUGCAGCAGAGAAAUAUUUAUUUCUCUGACGAUCACCUCAUUAAUCGGAUUUGCAUGAGUGGUAAUCAGGCGUCAAUUAAUAGCUGAAUUAUGCGGCAUUCCUGCACGCCGUUAGAAUUUACCUAUAUUAUACACCGAUCUCGCGUUAUCCACCACCGAUACAAGCCUUAUAGUCUUUAUGUAGCACGCCACCCACACGCGUGGUCAUUAUCGGCGCGCGAACGCGACGCGAUCCAACAUUUUACGGUGCAUACACGUCGACAGAUGGGAAUGUUGGCGCCAUUCUCGCGGCAUUAUGCCUGCACACGUACAGUGGCUCAGGAAAGUAUUCCAACAGUUAUAGAAUCUUUUUAUACAUAUAUAAUGUACUAUACAAAAUAUCGUGAAAUUUGUUUAGGACUAACGUGACUAUGAAUCUCGUGAUUAUAUUGGUCAAGUCUGAACCGAAUCUGAAAAUGAAUACAUAUAAAAGUUACAAAAUACUUACGAGCAUACACGAACGAAAGUUAACAAAGUAUUUGAACAGUUAAUUAUUGAUUGAUUGACUAGUAAAUCAUAAUAUUUAGUAAGAACAUUUGCAGCAUAUUUCUUUUUUACAAAUUGAAAUAGAAUUUUACAAGAUAAGUUAGUCGAUAUUUUUGUUCAUUACUGUACAUUCCUACAUACCAUGGCUGAUAAUGGCGAAGUAAAAUUUCUAAAAUCUUGUCUGCAAUUUGACAACCAUACGUAAUCGCAAUCUCCAUUACGAUCUCGUCGUGAAAGUCGAUGGUGCAUUAGAUAUCAUUGUAUUUUUUCUUAAAAGGGACGGGUUCUAGUAGAAAGUAAACAUUCUGUAUGAAAUUUUGGCAUCAUUAUAAUAAACUUUGAGAAAAUAUUCAGAAGUAUGAAGUUUGCAAUGGACAAUUAUUACUUUACAUUUGGUACCAAUAUCUGUAAUAAAAUACUUUUUAAAAUACUUAAGAUCAUAUAUUCAAUUAAUCAAUUCUAAUAAAAAUAUUUUUUU
Bombus huntii is the source of this 4785-nucleotide long non-coding RNA. RefSeq lists it as uncharacterized. The record is from RefSeq and is a predicted model, not a curated record. Lineage: Eukaryota; Metazoa; Arthropoda; Insecta; Hymenoptera; Apidae. The transcript is spliced from 2 exons.